CCCCAGCUUGCUGGGGUGAUUAGUGGCGAACGGGUGAGUAACACGUGAGUAACCUGCCCUUAACUCUGGGAUAAGCCUGGGAAACUGGGUCUAAUACCGGAUAUGACUUCUCAUCGCAUGGUGGGGGGUGGAAAGCUUUUUGUGGUUUUGGAUGGACUCGCGGCCUAUCAGCUUGUUGGUGAGGUAAUGGCUUACCAAGGCGACGACGGGUAGCCGGCCUGAGAGGGUGACCGGCCACACUGGGACUGAGACACGGCCCAGACUCCUACGGGAGGCAGCAGUGGGGAAUAUUGCACAAUGGGCGCAAGCCUGAUGCAGCGACGCCGCGUGAGGGAUGACGGCCUUCGGGUUGUAAACCUCUUUCAGUAGGGAAGAAGCGAAAGUGACGGUACCUGCAGAAGAAGCGCCGGCUAACUACGUGCCAGCAGCCGCGGUAAUACGUAGGGCGCAAGCGUUAUCCGGAAUUAUUGGGCGUAAAGAGCUCGUAGGCGGUUUGUCGCGUCUGCCGUGAAAGUCCGGGGCUCAACUCCGGAUCUGCGGUGGGUACGGGCAGACUAGAGUGAUGUAGGGGAGACUGGAAUUCCUGGUGUAGCGGUGAAAUGCGCAGAUAUCAGGAGGAACACCGAUGGCGAAGGCAGGUCUCUGGGCAUUAACUGACGCUGAGGAGCGAAAGCAUGGGGAGCGAACAGGAUUAGAUACCCUGGUAGUCCAUGCCGUAAACGUUGGGCACUAGGUGUGGGGGACAUUCCACGUUUUCCGCG
RNAcentral lists this ribosomal RNA (761 nucleotides) under bacterium. Its description in RNAcentral is "bacterial SSU rRNA". It matches the Rfam family "Bacterial small subunit ribosomal RNA", at positions 73 to 845 of the family's 1533-position model. The record is from RNAcentral.